GCAGGAGAAGGUGGGACUGCAGCCAGAGAGGGACCCUUAAACCAGAAGGAUGUGAGUGAUGUGAAACUGGUGGAUAAGCAGGAAAACAUGACUUAGAGAUGCUUUGUGAACAUCAGUUUUUUGAAGUCAAUCAUAAAGUGCUUCAAGUGGUUUCUUUAAGGAUACACAAACACAGAGGAAACCCACAGUCGAGUGAAUUUCACAAUAGGUACUGAAACAUGGAGAGGACACAUGGAGGUGCCACACAGUUAAGCUAAAAAAGGUGUUGUUCAACACAUCUCAGAAUAACUUUCUUAAUCCCC
Molecule: non-coding RNA, 302 nt
Organism: Lonchura striata (white-rumped munia)
Lineage: Eukaryota; Metazoa; Chordata; Aves; Passeriformes; Estrildidae
Source: RefSeq, a predicted model, not a curated record